CUAACAGCAAGGAAUCUACUGACAACAGUUCCUGAUAGCAUUGGGGUCCUAACAAAAUUGAUACGUCUUGACUUCCACCAGAACAAAAUUUCAUCGAUUCCAUCUUCAAUUAUGGGUUGUUGCUCAUUAGCUGAGUUUUAUAUGGGAAUCAAUUUGCUUUCAUCACUACCUCAGGAACUGGGUGCACUUUCUCGUUUAGGAACUCUGGAUCUUCAUUCAAAUCAGG
Molecule: long non-coding RNA, 226 nt
Organism: Phalaenopsis equestris
Lineage: Eukaryota; Viridiplantae; Streptophyta; Magnoliopsida; Asparagales; Orchidaceae
Exons: 3
Source: RefSeq, a predicted model, not a curated record